UGGGGAAUUUUGGACAAUGGGCGAAAGCCUGAUCCAGCAAUGCCGCGUGUGUGAAGAAGGCCUUCGGGUUGUAAAGCACUUUUGUCCGGAAAGAAAUCCUUGGCUCUAAUACAGUCGGGGGAUGACGGUACCGGAAGAAUAAGCACCGGCUAACUACGUGCCAGCAGCCGCGGUAAUACGUAGGGUGCAAGCGUUAAUCGGAAUUACUGGGCGUAAAGCGUGCGCAGGCGGUUUGCUAAGACCGAUGUGAAAUCCCCGGGCUCAACCUGGGAACUGCAUUGGUGACUGGCAGGCUAGAGUAUGGCAGAGGGGGGUAGAAUUCCACGUGUAGCAGUGAAAUGCGUAGAGAUGUGGAGGAAUACCGAUGGCGAAGGCAGCCCCCUGGGCCAAUACUGACGCUCAUGCACGAAAGCGUGGGGAGCAAACAGGAUUAGAUACCCUGGUAGUCCACGCCCUAAACGAUGUCAACUAGUUGUUGGGGAUUCAUUUCCUUAGUAACGUAGCUAACGCGUGAAGUUGACCGCCUGGGGAGUACGGUCGCAAGAUUAAAACUUCAAAUGAAUUGACGGGGUCAUAGCUGUUUCC
Molecule: ribosomal RNA, 585 nt
Filed under: uncultured bacterium
Lineage: Bacteria
Description: partial 16S ribosomal RNA
Rfam family: Bacterial small subunit ribosomal RNA
Source: RNAcentral